GUCUCGGGGCAAGGACUGGAGG
RNAcentral lists this microRNA (22 nucleotides) under Rattus norvegicus (Norway rat). RNAcentral describes it as "rno-miR-678". Its record names the gene rno-miR-678. Lineage: Eukaryota; Metazoa; Chordata; Mammalia; Rodentia; Muridae. The record is from miRBase by way of RNAcentral.